GGGGGCAACCCUGAUCCAGCCAUGCCGCGUGCGGGAAGAAGGCCUUCGGGUUGUAAACCGCUUUCGGCCGGAACGAAAUCGGCGGGAUGAAUAGUCUCGCUGGAUGACGGUACCGGAAGAAGAAGCACCGGCUAACUACGUGCCAGCAGCCGCGGUAAUACGUAGGGUGCGAGCGUUAAUCGGAAUUACUGGGCGUAAAGCGUGCGCAGGCGGCCGCGUAAGCCAGAGGUGAAAUCCCCGGGCUCAACCUGGGAAUGGCCUUUGGGACUGCGUGGCUCGAGUGCGGCAGAGGGGGGUGGAAUUCCUGGUGUAGCAGUGAAAUGCGUAGAUAUCAGGAGGAACACCGAUGGCGAAGGCAGCCCCCUGGGCCAGCACUGACGCUCAUGCACGAAAGCGUGGGGAGCAAACAGGAUUAGAUACCCUGGUAGUCCACGCCCUAAACGAUGACGACUAGUUGUUGGGGGAGCAAUCCCUUAGUAACGUAGCUAACGCGUGAAGUCGUCCGC
This 506-nucleotide ribosomal RNA is filed under the name uncultured bacterium. Its description in RNAcentral is "bacterial SSU rRNA". It matches the Rfam family "Bacterial small subunit ribosomal RNA", at positions 373 to 872 of the family's 1533-position model. The record is from RNAcentral.